CAUCAAUGUCAAGCUUCUAAGAGACCAAUUGUGCUGCUCAAGUUGGAUUUCACAAAGGCAUUUGACACCAUUGAACAUGAGGCAAUUAUCAGAAUCUUGAGGUACAAAGGUUUUAAUGAAAAGUGGAUUUCUUGGAUCAGGAGCAUUUUAUCCUCUGGUUCAUCCUCUGUUUUACUGAAUGGUGUGCAUGGCCAUCAUUUCAAGUGUAAUAGAGGUGUCAGACAGGGGGAUCCAAUGUCUCCCCUGCUUUUUGUGUUAGUUGCUGACAUGCUUCAAUCUGUGGUCAAUGACAUGUGUGCAAAGGGCAUCUUAUCUUUGCCAAUUCCUACAAACUGUCAGGAUUAUCCUAUAGUAUAG
This 357-nucleotide ribosomal RNA is filed under the name Triticum aestivum (bread wheat). RNAcentral's name for it is "partial small subunit ribosomal RNA". Lineage: Eukaryota; Viridiplantae; Streptophyta; Magnoliopsida; Poales; Poaceae. The record is from RNAcentral.